This 442-nucleotide ribosomal RNA is filed under the name uncultured bacterium. Its description in RNAcentral is "partial 16S ribosomal RNA". It matches the Rfam family "Bacterial small subunit ribosomal RNA", at positions 338 to 795 of the family's 1533-position model. The record is from RNAcentral.
CCUACGGGAGGCAGCAGUGGGGAAUAUUGGGCAAUGGGCGCAAGUCUGACCCAGCAAAGCCGCGUGCAGGAAGAAGGCUCUCGGGUUUUAAACUUGCUUUUAGUUGGGAGAGCAGAAGACGUUACCACUUGAAUAAUCUAUGUCUAACGACGUACCAGCAGCCCCGGUAAUACGGAGGUGGCAAGCGUUGUCCGGAUUUACUGGGCGUAAAGGGCGUGCAGCCGGGAAGACAAGUCAGCUGUGAAAUCCCGCGGCUCAACCGCGGAACUGCAGUUGAAACUGUAUUCCUUGAGUACAGAAGAGGUCAUCGGAAUUCCUUGUGUAGCGGUGAAAUGCGUAGAUAUAAGGAAGAACACCAGUGGCGAAGGCAGAUGACUGGACGGCAACUGACGGUGAGGCGCGAAAGCGUGGGGAGCAAACAGGAUUAGAUACCCUAGUAGUC